AUUUCUUUGCUCAACUUGCAUUUUCUAUUUCCAUUUUUAACUUAGAUUCUCUAUUUCCAUGCUCAACUUACAUUCUCUAUUUUCAUACCUAACUUACAAUUUUUAUUUUUAUGUUGAACUUACAUUCUCCAUUUCCAUGCUCAACUUGCAUGCUCUAUUUCUAUGCUCAACUUAUAUUCUCUAUUUCCAUGCUCAACUUGCAUUCUCCAUUUCCAUGUUCAACUUACAUUCUCCAUUUCCAUACUCAAUUUGCAUUCUCUAUUUCCA
RNAcentral lists this long non-coding RNA (267 nucleotides) under Physcomitrium patens. Its description in RNAcentral is "long non-coding RNA (PPAT_LNC002971)". Lineage: Eukaryota; Viridiplantae; Streptophyta; Bryopsida; Funariales; Funariaceae. The record is from RNAcentral.